RNAcentral lists this ribosomal RNA (483 nucleotides) under uncultured bacterium. Its description in RNAcentral is "bacterial SSU rRNA". It matches the Rfam family "Bacterial small subunit ribosomal RNA", at positions 29 to 500 of the family's 1533-position model. The record is from RNAcentral.
AGUGAACGCUGGCGGCAGGCCUAAUACAUGCAAGUCGAACGGCAGCACAGCAGAGCUUGCUCUGUGGGUGGCGAGUGGCGGACGGGUGAGGAAUACAUGGGAAUCUGCCCAGUCGUGGGGGAUAACGUAUGGAAACGUACGCUAAUACCGCAUGCGCCCUAAGGGGGAAAGCCGGGGACCGCAAGGCCUGGCGCGAUUGGAUGAGCCCAUGUUCCGAUUAGCUAGUUGGCGGGGUAAAGGCCCACCAAGGCGACGAUCGAUAGCUGGUCUGAGAGGAUGAUCAGCCACACUGGAACUGAGACACGGUCCAGACUCCUACGGGAGGCAGCAGUAGGGAAUAUUGGACAAUGGGGGCAACCCUGAUCCAGCCAUGCCGCGUGAGUGAAGAAGGCCCUCGGGUUGUAAAGCUCUUUUGUCCGGAAAGAAAGCAAUCGGUUAAUACCCGGUUGUCCUGACGGUACCGGAAGAAUAAGCACCGGCUAA